UACGGGGGGGAGCAAGCGUUGUUCGGAUUUACUGGGCGUAAAGGGCGCGUAGGCGGUCGUGACAAGUCACUUGUGAAAUCUCCGGGCUUAACUCGGAACGGUCAAGUGAUACUGUCGGACUAGAGUACAGAAGGGGCAACUGGAAUUCUCGGUGUAGCGGUGAAAUGCGUAGAUAUCGUAAGGAAGACCAGUGGCGAAGGCGGGUCUCUGGACAGUUCCUGACGCUGAGGCACGAAGGCCAGGGAGCAAACGGG
Molecule: ribosomal RNA, 254 nt
Filed under: uncultured bacterium
Lineage: Bacteria
Description: partial 16S ribosomal RNA
Rfam family: Bacterial small subunit ribosomal RNA
Source: RNAcentral